This 440-nucleotide ribosomal RNA is filed under the name uncultured bacterium. Its description in RNAcentral is "partial 16S ribosomal RNA". It matches the Rfam family "Bacterial small subunit ribosomal RNA", at positions 338 to 795 of the family's 1533-position model. The record is from RNAcentral.
CCUACGGGAGGCAGCAGUGGGGAAUAUUGCACAAUGGGGGAAACCCUGAUGCAGCGACGCCGCGUGAGUGAAGAAGUAUUUCGGUAUGUAAAGCUCUAUCAGCAGGGAAGAAAAUGACGGUACCUCAUUAAGAAGCCCCGGCGAACUACGUGCCAGCAGCCGCGGUAAUACGUAGGGGGCAAGCGUUAUCCGGAUUUACUGGGUGGAAAGUGAGCGUAGACGGCAGCACAAGUCUGGAGGGAAAUGCCGGGGGUUAACCCCGGAACUGCUUUGGAAACUGUGCAGCUAGAGUGCAGGAGAGGUAAGUGGAAUUCCUAGUGAAGCGGUGAAAUGCGUAGAUAUUAGGAGGAACACCAGUGGCGAAGGCGGCUUACUGGACUGUAACUGACGUUGAGGCUCGAAAGCGUGGGGAGCAAACAGGAUUAGAUACCCGAGUAGUC